RNAcentral lists this ribosomal RNA (394 nucleotides) under uncultured eukaryote. RNAcentral describes it as "partial small subunit ribosomal RNA". It matches the Rfam family "Eukaryotic small subunit ribosomal RNA", at positions 30 to 432 of the family's 1831-position model. The record is from RNAcentral.
GCUUGUCUCAAAGAUUAAGCCAUGCAUGUCUCAGUAUAAGCUUGUGCAUAGUGAAACUGCGAACGGCUCAUUAUAACAGUUAUAAUUUGUUUGGUGUUCAAGUUUACAUGGGUAACUGUGGCAAUUCUAGAGCUAAUACAUGCGAAAAGUCGGCGCAAGUCGAUGUAUUUAUUAGAUACAGAAUCAAUACGUGUUCUGCACGUUCUAUUGAUGAAUCAUAAUAACUGUUCGAAUCGCACGGGCAACCGGCGAUAGUUCAUUCAAAUUUCUGCCCUAUCAGCUUUCGACGGUAGUGUAGUGGACUACCGUGGCGUUAACGGGUAACGGAGAAUUAGGGUUCGAUUCCGGAGAGGGAGCCUGAGAAACGGCUACCACAUCCAAGGAAGGCAGCAGG